Molecule: ribosomal RNA, 256 nt
Filed under: uncultured bacterium
Lineage: Bacteria
Description: partial 16S ribosomal RNA
Rfam family: Bacterial small subunit ribosomal RNA
Source: RNAcentral
UACGUAGGGUGCAAGCGUUAAUCGGAAUUACUGGGCGUAAAGCGUGCGCAGGCGGUUUUGUAAGUUGACGUGAAAUCCCCGGGCUCAACCUGGGAAUUGCGUUGGAGACUGCAAGGCUAGAAUCUGGCAGAGGGGGGUAGAAUUCCACGUGUGAGCAGUGAAAUGCGUAGAGAUGUGGAGGAACACCGAUGGCGAAGGCAGCCCCCUGGGUCAAGAUUGACGCUCCAUGCACGAAAGCGUGGGGAGCAACAAGGAU